GACGAACGCUGGCGGCGUGCCUAAUACAUGCAAGUCGAACGAAGCUGUUUUAACUGGUGCUUGCACCGACUUAAACAACUGAGUGGCGAACGGGUGAGUAACACGUGGGUAACCUGCCCCAAAGCGGGGGAUAACAUUUGGAAACAGAUGCUAAUACCGCAUAACCACAGAAACCACCUGGUUGCUGUGUCAAAGAUGGUUUCGGCUAUCACUUUGGGAUGGACCAGCGGCGUAUUAGCUAGUUGGUAAGGUAAUGGCUUACCAAGGCAAUGAUACGUAGCCGAACUGAGAGGUUGAUCGGACACAUUGGGACUGAGACACGGCCCAAACUCCUACGGGAGGCAGCAGUAGGGAAUCUUCCACAAUGGACGAAAGUCUGAUGGAGCAACGCCGCGUGAGUGAAGAAGGUUUUCGGAUCGUAAAACUCUGUUGUCAGAGAAGAACGUGUGCGAGAGUAACUGUUCGUGCAGUGACGGUAUCUGGCCAGAAAGCCACGGCUAACUACGUGCCAGCCGCCGCGGUAA
RNAcentral lists this ribosomal RNA (524 nucleotides) under uncultured bacterium. RNAcentral describes it as "partial 16S ribosomal RNA". It matches the Rfam family "Bacterial small subunit ribosomal RNA", at positions 28 to 523 of the family's 1533-position model. The record is from RNAcentral.